Molecule: RNA transcript, 8791 nt
Organism: Osmia bicornis bicornis
Lineage: Eukaryota; Metazoa; Arthropoda; Insecta; Hymenoptera; Megachilidae
Gene: Ziz
Gene name: dedicator of cytokinesis protein 9
Exons: 29
Source: RefSeq, a predicted model, not a curated record
GCUACGACGUGAUCGUAGAAGCCGCGAAAAUAUGGCCGCGGCAAUAUAAAAGAGUGGUUAGUUGUGUCGAGUACAAUAACUAUGCGUAAUGAUUGUGAUUAUUUUUAUUGGCAUACGAUGAUAAGAUCAAUGUAUCAUCGGGAAAGAUGAGUGAAAGAAAGUUUACUCGUGGCCUAGGUAAGCCGGGCAUGGCCGCUCAAUUACGAGAAACUGUCUCUCAGGUAGUACGCGAGAGCACUGUACAGAAUAAGCCACAUUUAGUAGAACCAAUAGAUUUUGAAAGUUUCGUAUUAAAAAACAAAACUUUAUUACAAAAUGAUCCACAGAGAGAGCUUCUUCUAUAUCCUCAGGAUGAUGUUUCACAAGUGGUAUUACCUAGAAGAUUUCGUACCCUUGUACCAACAGUAUCACAAACUUCAGACAAUGAGGAAGGAGAAGAAAACCUACUUACAAAAGAAUGUUUACAAAGCUACACAUCUAAUUGGAACCUUAUACAUUAUAAAUAUUCAACCUAUAGUGGAACUUAUCUUGAAUUGCCCAAAAUAGCAAAAGCAGAUGAUCUAAAAGAUGAAGUAUAUGAAAUAGAUACAGAAGUAGACCAAGUUGACGAGGAACUAACAAAGAGUAAUGGGAUAACAAAAGAAGGCUAUUUGAUGAAAGGACCAGAAAUUGGUAGUAGUGACCGUAUGUUUGCAAAUAUCGGUUCGAAAUCAUUCAAAAGAAGAUUUUGUCAUCUCAGACAAGAAGUUGAUGGCACAUAUAUUCUUGAGCUUUUUAAAGAUGAAAAAAAGGGAGAAGCCAAAUUAACGAUAGUAAUGGACUUUUGCACCGAGGUUGUCAGAAAUCCAAAACGUGGAAGAUACUGUUUUGAAUUAAGAAUGAGCGGGACUCAUAAAUCGUAUACUUUAGCAGCGGAUAAUGAAACAGAUAUGCAGGAUUGGUUAUUAAAGUUAAGCUCGGUAUUACAGCAUUAUAAACAGCAAGAAGAAAAGCGUGCUGCUUCGUUAGAAAGGGCGUGCAAUACACCUCCUCCCUCUCCGCAACCGAUGCAGGUUUAUGGAACGUUGAAAGGAUUGGAACAAAGUAUGAAUCCACAGUUAAUAAAAUAUUCCAGAGAAACUGAUACCAGUAUAGCAUUGGCGAGACGUGAAAAUCGUAAACGAUUGUUUAAUAUUUACCCUAAUAUUCCGCACAGCAAGCAACAAUCCGGCAAUUCUAGUGAACACAACAUUGAUCCAUAUAAAGAACAAUUUGGACAAAGAAUUUUUGUUAAGUGUGAAAGUCUUAAAUUUAGAUUGCAAGCGCCAAUAGAUGAGAAAGAGUCAUUGUGUCAGGUAGAACCGUAUCAGACAACAUUGAGCCUUUAUGAUGCAAGACACGGUAGAAAACUUACCGAAAACUUCCACUUUGAUAUUAAUCACGAAGUUGUUCAAGGAAUGGCAAAAGAAUUAAGUCCUAUAGGUAUUAUGACUGAAUCUACAGAGGAUGUAAAAUUACCAAACGAUUUGAAAAGUAUACCAUUAGACUGGAUUAAAUACCCAAAACAGGCUAUAUUCAGUAUUAGUAAUCCUCAUCCUGACAUAUUUUUGGUUGUAAGAAUAGAUAAAAUAUUGCAAGGGAACAUAUGUCAAACUUCUGAACCAUAUUUAAGAGCUACAAAAGAUCCACGUUUAGGUUUAAAGGUACAUAAACAAGUUAGAGCAUGCUGCCAAAGAUUGGGAAACUAUAGAAUGCCCUUUGCUUGGGCUGCUAGACCAUUAUUUAGAUUAUAUAGUAAUGAACUGGAUGUUUCAUCAGAUUUUCCAGCAAUUUAUAGACAAGAAGGGAAUAAAAUAAAAGAUGAUGAAUUAUUGAAACUUCUUUCGGAAUACAGAAAGCCUGAGAAACUUAGUAAAUUAACUGUGAUACCUGGUUGGUUAAAAAUAAAAAUUGAGUCAAUUACAGAAUUACCUGAUAGUAUGUGUACCUGGCAUAUAAUUAUAGCAUAUACGUUAUCUACGUCCUUAGCAGCAUUGAAACCAUUUCCAUUACCACCAACAUCUGAACCAACUCUUGAAAUUGCAGAGUUUGAAAGUACUUCAGAGAAAGAUGUUCACCCAUACACCACGUAUAUUAAUCAUCUUUACGUGUAUCCGCAAACUCUUUGCUUUGAUGCUCAAAAAAUAUUCACCAGAGCUAGAAAUAUCGCAUGUAUCGUUGAGCUAAGAGAUGAUGAUAGUGAAAAUGCUGCACCUUUAAGAUGUAUAUACGGAAGACCUGGUUCUCCACUUUUAUGUUUACGAGCAUCCUGUGCAGUUUUACAUCACAACGCUGUUCCUUCGUGGUACGAAGAGAUUAAAAUACGAUUACCGACAAAACUUCACUCCAAGCAUCAUUUACUUUUUUCUUUCUACCAUAUAAGUUGUGAUAUGAAUAAGAAAAAAGAAAAUGGAGUUGAAAGUUGUGUUGGGUAUGCUUGGUCUCCGUUGUUACACAAAGGAAGAUUAAAUGUGGAUAUGGAUAUGAAUGUACAGAUAUUACCAGUGGCAACGCAUUUACCUCCUGGGUAUUUGUCGAUACAACCUCUUGGGCUAGGAAAAGGGAAUGCAGGACCGGAAAUCGUAUGGAUUGAUUCCCAGCGGCCAGUAUUUACAGUAGCAUUUCAGUUAAUUUCAACUGUAUUUACUCGUGAUGUACAUUUACAUAAUUUAUUUGCUCAUAUGGAACGGAUUUUGGAUAUGAAAAUUGGAGCAGUACCAGCAGAUUCAGAAACAUGUAAAAUUUUGAAAGCUGCCCAUGCAGUACAACUAGUUACUAUCAUUACAUUUCUUCCUACCAUACUGAAUCAAUUAUUUGCAUUGUUAACUUAUACCACUAACGAAGAAGUUGGAUUAUAUAUUAUAAGAGUUUUGAUACAUUUCAUAAAUAUGGUGCACGAUGCUGGUAGAAAAGAAACGCUUCAGGCUUACAUUAAGUUUGUUUUUGUACCACCUUCUCAAGGAAAUGGCAGUGUAACUGUUCACGAGCAACUAGGAAAACAUCUUCCUACAUUAUUACAACCAAAUAAUACUGACUUUUUAGUAGUAAACAAGUUUAUGCAUCACUCGAACUUCUUUUUUGAAAUAAUGAUCAAAAGCAUGGCGCAACACUUGCUUUCAACAGGCAGGAUAAAAAUGCAUAGAAAUGAAAGAUUUUCAAAAGAAUAUCAUGAAAAAAUUCGAAACUUAGUGGAAGUUAUUAUGCCUUAUUUAAUGAAUAAGUAUAAAGAAAUGCCUGUUGAAACUCACGAAUUAAACAAAAGUCUUGCCCAGUUUUUAAAGCGAUGUCUUACAUUCAUGGAUCGUGGAUUCGUGUUUCGCCUAAUUAAUUUGUACGUGGAUAACUUUUCACCUGGUGAUCAACGUACACUACACGACUUUAAAUUUACAUUCUUGCAAAUAAUUUGUUCCCAUGAGCAUUAUGUAUCUUUCAACUUACCAAUGAUGCAAUCACGAAUCACUUCCAGAGAAGAUACAGAGAGUGAUCCAGAAUGUGAUGAUUUAAUGAAUGAGUACUGUUUGUCAGAAGACUUUUGCAAACAUCAUUUUUUGGUUGGUCUAUUAAUGCAAGAAGUUAAAACAUCUCUGAAUGAAAUUGUACAAAUUCGAAAAGUAGCUAUAGCCACGUUACGAGAUUUAAUGGCAAAGCAUGAACUGGACGAUAGAUAUCAAAAUAAGGGUCAAUUAAGUAGAAUAGCAUUUAUUUAUAUACCAUGGCUUGGUAUUGUAUUGGAAAAUUUGCAUAGAUUGCAGUCCGUAUACGAUAACGGUAAAACAGAGAUUAAGCAAAAUGGUACUGAUAGAAUAUCAACUAGUAGUUCAUUUCUGGCAAACAAAGAUACUGCUAGUAACAUUACAACAGUUGGAACUCCAAAAUCAGUUCACAGGCUUACUAUACAUUUGGAUACUCAGUCUCCGAUAAGAGCAUCAAUGCAUCUACGAGAUUCUACAUAUUUUGCUGCCAUAGCAGGUCAAGGUUUAGUUAAUGGUUAUUCCUGUACUAGUAUAGAAUCAGAUACUUCAACAAUGUCUGGUGCCUCUCAAUCAAACGUAUCUCAAGAAACUACCAUUAUUCGUGAACCAAUUGAAAACGGUACUAACGAGAAAAAACGACAUUCUCGUUCUUUAAGCGUAACCCAAUCAUCGCCCAGAUGCGACAAAUUACAGUCAUCAGAAGUUAAAGAUAUCUUACUUUGUUUCUUAUUUGUUAUAAAAUACUUGGGUGAUCAUCAAAUUAUUGCUUGGUUGCAACAAUGCAGUGAUUGUGAAAUGUUAAGUUUCUUUACAGUGAUAGAAAUGAGUCUUCAUCAUUUUAAAUAUGUUGGGAAAAGACAAAUAUCUACAAAUAUAGCAAACAGUUCAGGAAAACCACGAACAGCAAAAGCAAUGACGUUACCAGCCAGAAUGGCACCUCCUGAUUUUUCUACUGAUGCACCAGCUACUAGUACUUUGCAACCGCAUAAUACUAUAGUCAGAGAAAAUCUUGUUGAAACCGACGGUGGAAAAGUACAUCAAGCUAUUUUAGAAGCAAAUAUGGCUACAGAAGUUGGUCUUAUUGCAUUAGAUUGCUUAGGAUUAUUUUGUAUUCAUUUUAAGGAUGUACUUUUAGCAACGGAUGGUGAUAAUCCCAUAAUGCAAAAAGUAUUCAGUAUUUAUUUAUCAUUUUUACAAGUUGGCCAAUCUGAAACUUUACUGCGUCAUGUUUUUGCUAGUUUUAGAGCUUUUUUAAAUAAUUACUCUAUUAUUCUUUUUCAAGGAAAUGCUGUACUGUGUGGACGUUUAUGUUAUGAGUUAUUACGUUGUUGUAAUAGUAAAUUAAGUUGUAUAAGACAGGAGUCUUGUGCUUUACUUUAUCUUCUCAUGAGGAGUAAUUUUGAAUUCACAAGUAGGAAAGGAUUGACAAGAGUUCACUUACAAGUGAUAAUAUCCGUUUCUCAAAUGCUUGGAAACGUUAUUGGACUGAAUAACUCAAGAUUCCAGGAAUCGCUUUCAUUAAUAAACAGUUACGCUUCAUCGGAUAAAGUAAUGAAGGGGACUGGUUUUCCAGUUGAAGUUAAAGAUCUUAAUAAAAGGAUUCGUACUGUGUUAAUGGCGACAGCCCAAAUGAGAGAACAUAAUAAUGAUCCUGAAAUGUUAGUAGACUUGCAACAUAGUCUGGCUAAUUCUUACGCUAGUACACCAGAAUUAAGGCAUACGUGGUUGGAAACUAUGGCUAGGAACCAUGCAAGAGAUGGAAAUUUCUCAGAGGCUGCUUGUUGUCAAUUACAUAUCGCAGCAUUAAUGGCCGAAUAUUUAAAAUUAAGAAAUGUUCAUUCAUGGGGAGCAGAAGCUUUUGACAAAAUAUCUGAAAAUAUUUCCAGAGAUGAAUGUAGCCUUAAACUUGAUGCCGGUGAGAUUUGUAUGUUUUGCACAUGCGUACAAGAUAUUCAUUAUAACGAGUAUAUACUUCUUGAACAAUUAGAAGUUUGUGCAGACAUGUUGGAAAAAGCAGAGCGAUUCGAACUUCUAGGACAUUUGUAUAGAUUAAUAGUUCCUAUGUAUGAAGAAAAACGAAAUUACGAAGCUCUAGCAAAUUGUUAUUCACAUUUGGCACAGGCUUGUAAUAAAAUUGUUGAAGUUACAAAGUCUGGAAAACGACUUCUUGGGAGGUUUUAUAGAGUUGCAUUUUUCGGUUCGGCGUAUUUUGAAGAAGAAAAUGGACAAGAGUAUAUUUAUAAAGAGCCAAAAAUUACAUCUUUGUCAGAAAUUUCUGAGCGUUUGCAUCAUUUAUAUUCCGAAAAAUUUGGUGCAGAAAAUGUAAAAAUGAUCAUGGAUUCUGUACCUAUUGACAUAACUGAAUUAGAUCCGAAAAUAUCAUAUAUUCAAGUGACACACGUGACAGCUUAUUUCGAGAAAUUUGAAUUAGAAACACGGCAAACGGAGUUUGAGCAAAAUCACAAUAUAUCAUCUUUUAUGUUUGAAACUCCGUUUACUAAAGAAGGGAAAGCAAGAGGUAGCCCGGAAGAGCAAUGGAAGCGAAGAACAAUUUUAAAAACACAAUAUUCUUUCCCAUACAUUAAAAAACGAAUCUUAGUAAUACAAAAACGUAUAAUGGAACUAAGUCCAAUUGAAGUUGCUUUAGAUGAAAUGCGCCAACGUGUGCAAGAACUAGAAGAUGUGGCCCUUAUAGGUCCAACGGAUGUGAAAAAAUUACAAUUAAGGUUGCAAGGAAGUAUAUGCGUUACCGUGAAUGCGGGACCACUCGCAUAUGCGUCUGCAUUUUUAGAUCCUGCGCUCUCUCCACAAUAUCCGGAUGAUAAAGUUGAAGAAUUAAAAGAUGUAUUUAGAGAAUUUGUUAAAAUAUGUUAUACAGCUCUUCAAAUAAAUAGUAAGUUAAUUACGUCUGAUCAACACGAAUAUCAAGAAGUAUUACGAGAGAACUAUCAAAAACUAUGUCAAAAUUUAUCGUCGUUAUUUGGCGAACCUAUCUGGCCUGACGAACAGGUUGGAAAUUUUAAACGCAACAGCGCUGCUUUAUUUAAUGUUAUUAGCGGUGCUAAUAGUCAUACGAGUACAGCCUAAAACAGAAGUUAUUAAUUAAGCUCAUUCGCAAUUAGCUUUUCUUAUGUAAGUAAACAGUACAAAUUGGGUUGUACAUACAUAUAAAACCCAUUGUUGAUUUGCUUGAGCUCAAAAACAUUUAUGUCACUAAUUAUGGAUUAUUGAAUGUUAUCGUCAUAAUAAUUAUGUCAAUUAAGAAAACUAUAUUGCCAGAAAAGUUAGAGAAAGAAAUAGAAAUAACAUUUAGAUAUUUUAUUUCUACAAAAGAUUUACUGCAUUUUUCCUAACUGCAAGAUUUAUAACUGUCUACAUCAAUACAUAGUUUCUAUGAACAUUAUAGAUACAUUUAAAUGUAGUUAAAUAUAAUAUAUUUUGGUGUUGAGCACCUGAAGGGGCAUUUAUAUGCGCGUAUAAUAUUUUAUAAGAAUUGAAUGAUUUGUAUAUUAGAAUAUGUUAAAUGUGUAGAACUUAAUUUGUAUAUAUUUGUAUAAUUUAUUCUAUGUACUCGCGUAUUAUGCAAAGAAGAUGUAGCCAGCGAUCAUUUUAUAUUUAUGCAAAUAUUACUAUUAACUAAAAACAAAGAGAGAGUAUUUUGUGAUCACACAAUUAUACAAAUUUAACAUUUUAUCAUUUCAUCUUCUUUUUCUUAUCGAUAUUACAAAAGUAAAAUGAAGAAAUACAAAUAAUAUCUGCAUGCUACUGUAUGUCCACAAAAAUUUAUAAUUACAUCUAAUAUUUUUAAUAUUGAUAUAAUCAUAUGUUAUGGUCUAUGUACUUAACAAAAAGAAAAUAAUUGUAACGAGUGUUUGAAAAAUUAUUUUUAUUUCACAUUGGGUGUAUAUCUUCUUUAUAUAAUUUUCUUGUGAUAAAUUCGUAGCAGGGUACAUUACCUAAUUCGCACUCUGUACGAUUUCUUUAAAUUUGUUGAAAUGAAAUAUUAAUUGCGUUAUAGUUUUAAUAUGAAAAAUUCUGCAAAGUUUAUAAUGCAAGAAAUUUAUAUAAUUGUAAUUAGUAUGUAUAAAACAUUGUUUUAAUAAUUGAAUAUUGUUAUUUAUCGCUUAACAUAAAGCUUUGUCUUACAAAAUGUUUUACUAAUCACAUUUGUAUAUUGUAUUAUGUGAUUUAUACUCUCGCAAUUUUCGUAGUACAAAACCGCUUGUGCAAACAAAAAAUAGCUUAUGAUAAUCUAAAAUAUUUGGAUUAUAAAUUUUAGUAUGUAAUAAUUAUAUGCUAACAAUUGUUUUAAUUUAUUCGUUAAGGAAGCUUCGGCAUAUAUGUUGAUUAAUUUGUAAUAUCAUUAUAACUAUUACAUUUAUUUUCAAAAUUGCAAUUGACAAAUUUUUCUAAUGGAUGUACAGUAGUUUAUGUUUAUAAUAUUAUGAAAAAAGGCUGAACAAAAAGUAUACAAUAUCCAAAUUAAGAAUAUUGAAUAGAUAUACAUUAUACUAGUACCUAGCAUUUAGUUGCAAAAUGGAUAAACUACAAAAUAAUGAGAAACAUUUGACUGUCGAAGGUUGUAAAACAUGCGUGUCAUGGCACAUUAUUCACCGUGUAAAUUAACAUCAGUGUCUAAAUAUUUGAAUAGUUAUUUUUCACAAUAGUGAUUAAUUCUAUAAGUAAUAAUGUUAGAAAUAGAAGAAAUUAUGCUUUUAGAAUUAUAGAUUGUUAAUUGGAAAACUGAAUUCUAGGAGAUAAAGUGUAAGUUAAAAAAAAAAUGUAUAAUACAACGGAAUGAUCGAAUUUUAUUAUUCUUUUUAAAUGCAAAUUCAAGAAGUGUUCGUUUGUAAAGUUCUUUAACAAUGAAUGUGAAAAUAAUUAUAAUUAAUUUGAAUGUAUUGCUUGUUUAAGAAAGAAAUUAAGUCAUAGAAACAUUUUAUAAAUUUUACACGUUCAUUAAAGAAAAAGUUAAAAAAAUGUUUUUGUAAUACAGUGCCUCUUUAGUUGCAAAAAUUUGAAUAAAUGAUAGUUAGUAUGUUGUCCAACAAUAUGUUAAAGGCGACAAAUUAAAGAUUGAAAAUAAGUCUGAUUUUAGAAUGUUACUUAAUCGCACAAUACACAUUAUUUGAAUAAUUUGACAUGAGAUUUUGUAAAGAAAAGUGGAACUAAAAGAGAUUAUGUGUGAGUGUGUGUGUGAGCAAAAUUAAAUAAGUUGCAUAGGUAACGUAAAUAUAAUCCUAAUUCUAAUACAUAGAUAAUCUCAAAUACUGUAUUAAAAAAAUAUAAAAUUUGCUUUG